RNAcentral lists this ribosomal RNA (497 nucleotides) under uncultured bacterium. Its description in RNAcentral is "partial 16S ribosomal RNA". It matches the Rfam family "Bacterial small subunit ribosomal RNA", at positions 28 to 507 of the family's 1533-position model. The record is from RNAcentral.
GAUGAACGCUGGCGGCGUGCCUAAGACAUGCAAGUCGAGCGAACAGACGAGGCGCUUGCUUCUCUGACGUUAGAGGCGGACGGGAGAGUAACAUGUGGAUAACCUACCUAUAAGUCUGGGAUAACUUCGGGACACCGGAGCUUAUACCGGAUAAUAUAUUGAACCGCACGGCUCACUAGUGAAAGUCGGGUUUGCGUUCACUUAUCGCUGGAUCCGCGCUGUAUUAGCAAGUUGGUACGGUAAAAGUGUACGAAGGCAACGCUGCGCAGCCGACCUGUUAGGGUGAUCGGCUACACUGUAACUGAGACACCGUCCAGACUCCUACGGGAGGCAGCAGUCGCGAUUCCUCCACAAUGGUCGCAAGUCUUGCGAAGCUACCCGCCGCGGGUGACGAAGCUCUUCGGGUCGGAAGACUGUCCUUCUAGGGGACAACAGGUGUGUAAGUAACGAUGCACGUCUUGACGGUACCUUGUAAGCAAGCCACGGCUAACUACGUG